Long non-coding RNA from Spea bombifrons (plains spadefoot toad), 243 nucleotides. RefSeq lists it as uncharacterized. NCBI's taxonomy places the organism in Eukaryota, Metazoa, Chordata, Amphibia, Anura, Pelobatidae. The record is from RefSeq and is a predicted model, not a curated record. The transcript is spliced from 4 exons.
CCUCUGGAAACCAGCAGGAGUCCAGAAAAGCGUUCCCGUGGUAUGCCAUAGUGAUUGCUGCGGUCAGCCUGCCGAUCCUCAUUUUCCUGAUUUACAAAUGUUUCCACCCCAGAACCAUCUUGAAGCAAUGCAUUAAAUCGCAAGAUGGCGAAAGCGGUUAAGAUGCAGAAGAUGAUUGUACUCGCAGGUACAGAAGAAAUGAUCGCACAAUUAUCUUGAAGACCAUUGCAGAUGACAACUACA